UAUUGGUCAAUGGUCGGGAGACUGAACCGGCCAAGCCGCGUGAGGGAUGAAGGUACAGAGUAUCGUAAACCUCUUUUGUCAGGGAACAAAGGCGGGGACGCGUCCCCGGACGAGUGUACCUGCAGAACAAGCCUCGGCUAACUCCCUGCCAGCAGCCACGGUAAUACGGAGGAUGCGAGCGUUAUCCGGAUUUAUUGGGUUUAACGGGUGCGCAGGCGGUCUGUUAAGUCAGCGGUCAAAGCCCGGGGCUCAACCCCGGUCCGCCGUUGAAACUGGCAGUCUCGAGUUGGAGAGAAGUAUGCGGAAUGCGCGGUGUAGCGGUGGAAUGCAUAGAUAUCGCGAAGAACUCCGAUUGCGAAGGCAGCAUGCCGGCUCCACACUGACGCUGAGGCACGAAAGCGUGGGUAUCGAACAGG
RNAcentral lists this ribosomal RNA (416 nucleotides) under uncultured bacterium. RNAcentral describes it as "bacterial SSU rRNA". It matches the Rfam family "Bacterial small subunit ribosomal RNA", at positions 362 to 776 of the family's 1533-position model. The record is from RNAcentral.